This 1373-nucleotide unclassified non-coding RNA is filed under the name Bombus terrestris (buff-tailed bumblebee). RNAcentral's name for it is "misc RNA ENSBTSG00005034059.1". The record is from RNAcentral. Lineage: Eukaryota; Metazoa; Arthropoda; Insecta; Hymenoptera; Apidae.
AGAGUGUCCCUAUGAACUUUGAGAAUUCGUUAUCGUUGUGCUCCUUUAUUUUGUUUUUUAUUUCCUUUGCAAGUUUGUUUAAGUGUUUUUUGUUUUCUCGUGUUCUAUGUUUUUGCCAUUUUGCUUUCGCUUUUCUUUUUUCUCUAAUUUUUUCAAGUAUGUCUUGCGGAAUUAUUUUUGUUUGUCUGCAGUUUGGUUUGGGUGUAGUGGUUGUUCAUGCUGCUUCUUGGAUAGUUUCUGCCAAUGAUGUUACUGCCUAUUCAAUGUGUUCGGGUGUUUUCAAUGGGAUGUUGCAGAUUAUUUUGCUCUCGGUUAUUUCUUUAAAAGUUUGCCAUUUGGUGGUUUUAUUGCAUAGUGUCUCUGGAUUGCUAUAAAGUAUUGGUUUGUUUCUGUAUUCAAUUAUUAUGGGUGUAUGAUCAGAGCUAAGAUCGAGGUUGGGUGUUAUUUUUAGUUUAUUUGUGUUUAGUCCCUUUGUAACUGCAAAAUCGAGUAGGUCAGGUUUUUUGCUCAGGUCUGUCGGCCAGUAUGUCUACCUGUGGAUAAUAUAUUGAGGUUAUUGUUUGUAAUGUAUUUUUCCAGGGUUCUACCUCGAGGUGUAGUAAUUCUUGAUCCCCAUAGCGUGUGCUUUAAGUCGCAGUCUCCCGCUACGAUGUACUUGUCCCCUAAGUGUUAAAAGUACUCUUCCCACAUUUGUGAUGUUAUUUUAUGUCGCGAUGGUACAUAUACUGCUGACAACUGGAUGUGGUUGCUGCUAGUUUGAAUUGUAACGGUGGUUGCUUGGGUAUAUUCCUUACUAACUUGGCUGUGUAAAUGGUGUUUGAUAUUGUUUCUUAUUAUCACUACGGUCUCUCCGUGCGCUUUUCCUGAGCGGUAUUUGGUAUCAUAUAUGAUGUAGUAUGGUACUUUCAUGUGGCUUUUUGAAGUGAAGUGUGUUUCUGAAACAAGUAAUAUGUCGAUAUUGUUGUUAUACAGGAAUGUUUUAGUUUCUAGGGCCCGUUGUUGUAGGCCGUUUGAAUUCCAGGCUGCUACUUUUACUAUGUCCGUUUUUAUUUUUUGCUUAGCAUGUUUGUAAGUAGUUCUUUGCAUUUGCUGUCUAAGAACUGCGUUUUGUUCGCUUAUCAUUUUUGUUAGCAUUUCGGUGUUUUUGAUGGAUUGUUUGAGCAGUUCCUUGAUUUCUGUAAUGUCGUUGCUGAUAUUGUUCUGAUUUUGGUUGUUUAAGGGUGGCGAUUGGUCGAUUACUUGCGCGUAGCUUCGGCUACCAAAGGUGUCGGUGUUACUGUGGUUAAUGUGUCCGCUUCCUGGUCGAGGGGGCCGAGCGACGUGGUUACGUGACGUUGGCCGUGUCGCUGGACGUAGUCAACGUCUUCAACAGC